UGAACGCUGGCGGCGUGCCUAAUACAUGCAAGUCGAGCGAACAGACGGGGAGCUUGCUCCUCUGACGUUAGCGGCGGACGGGUGAGUAACACGUGGAUAACCUACCUAUAAGACUGGGAUAACUUCGGGAAACCGGAGCUAAUACCGGAUAAUAUAUUGAACCGCAUGGUUCAAUAGUGAAAGACGGUUUUGCUGUCACUUAUAGAUGGAUCCGCGCCGCAUUAGCUAGUUGGUAAGGUAACGGCUUACCAAGGCAACGAUGCGUAGCCGACCUGAGAGGGUGAUCGGCCACACUGGAACUGAGACACGGUCCAGACUCCUACGGGAGGCAGCAGUAGGGAAUCUUCCGCAAUGGGCGAAAGCCUGACGGAGCAACGCCGCGUGAGUGAUGAAGGUCUUCGGAUCGUAAAACUCUGUUAUUAGGGAAGAACAAAUGUGUAAGUAACUAUGCACGUCUUGACGGUACCUAAUCAGAAAGCCACGGCUAACUACGUG
Molecule: ribosomal RNA, 495 nt
Filed under: uncultured bacterium
Lineage: Bacteria
Description: partial 16S ribosomal RNA
Rfam family: Bacterial small subunit ribosomal RNA
Source: RNAcentral